This 447-nucleotide ribosomal RNA is filed under the name uncultured bacterium. RNAcentral describes it as "bacterial SSU rRNA". It matches the Rfam family "Bacterial small subunit ribosomal RNA", at positions 329 to 793 of the family's 1533-position model. The record is from RNAcentral.
GGCCAGACUCCUACGGGAGGCAGCAGUGGGGAAUAUUGCACAAUGGGGGAAACCCUGAUGCAGCGACGCCGCGUGAGUGAAGAAGUAUUUCGGUAUGUAAAGCUCUAUCAGCAGGGAAGAAAAUGACGGUACCUGACUAAGAAGCCCCGGCUAACUACGUGCCAGCAGCCGCGGUAAUACGUAGGGGGCAAGCGUUAUCCGGAUUUACUGGGUGUAAAGGGAGCGUAGACGGCAUGGCAAGUCAGAUGUGAAAGCCCGGGGCUCAACCCCGGGACUGCAUUUGAAACUGUCAGGCUGGAGUGCAGAAGAGGUAAGUGGAAUUCCUAGUGUAGCGGUGAAAUGCGUAGAUAUUAGGAGGAACACCAGUGGCGAAGGCGGCUUACUGGACUGUAACUGACGUUGAGGCUCGAAAGCGUGGGGAGCAAACAGGAUUAGAUACCCCGGUAA